GCUGUGUAAAUAUUUUUAUUCACUUCCAGAAGUGAACUAUGUUUACUGAUUUGCAGUGACCAAUGCAUUCAGGUUCCUAAUGUCCAAUGCUUAUGUAUACUUCCUGAUUACUAAAGCCACAUCAAAGAUAAAGAUGAAAAAUAAAAGGAAAGUGAGAGAUGAAAUAGAGAGAAAGAGAGAUGGGAAUGUGGGCAACAAAAUAACUUUUUACUUUGAUGCUUUAAGGAAGAGGGCUGAAACUCAGGCAUAGUUCCCUGGAGGCUGAGUCAUCCAACAUCCCUCAUCACUUGAACUAGUGAGCAUUUGUACGAGUGAGCAGAAGAGAAGAAAAAUAUGAAUGCUACCACUUCAUUAGACUGUUCUUCUUGAUAAAUUUAGAUUUUUUUUAAUUGCUUUUUUUUUUUUUUUUUUUUUUGUAUUAUUUUGUUGUUGUUGAAGCGACACUGAGGCAAAGGAAACUUGGCAAUCUUUUCAAUGGAGGUCAAAUGGAGACUAGGGUGUACCAAGCUUCUCAGCAGAAAAUAGAGGACUGCAGCUUGCAGAAAGCCUCCAGGAAAAGGAGAGAUGAUAACAAAGCCAGCUGAGGGGGCUUAUGGAAAGGACAUUUUCUGACAAGGAACAGAACUCUGUUGUGUACCUACCUGAGAACCUGUUAUUGAAAGAUUGAGAAAGACCACCCAUCCAGAGACCAUAUCACCCAACAGGGAAGUGCCAAUUUUAAUCCUUCAGAGGUCUUUUUACCCUACCGCAUAUCCACUUCCAUCAAGAUACAGGAUUGAGUGACAAGUGAUUUAAUGUUUUGUAAUGAGAGGCUAAUUUUUAGGGAAUUAUACAGGGGGCAGAGGGUCUGUGUAGCAGAGCUUUGUCAGUGAAAAUGCCACAAUGGUGAUAUCACAUCCAGGUUGCUAAGAUUACCACCUACUGAUAUCCCAAAGGUGGAGACUAAAGAAUGAACCUCAUAGAUUUAGCUAGGAGUUCAAAUUACAGAAUGCAACCAUAUGUUGGUACUUAGGUGGUAGAAGCAAAGCUCCCAGCAAUGGAAGGAACUGAUAAGACAGAGUGAAAGAGAGAGAUGGUCAUGUGCAGAUAUAACAGUAACAUUCUUACAUUAAUAAUUAUAAUAAAAAGCAGAAGGAAUAUUUGCUGGAUUUUUCAGAACAAAACAGCUUUUCACUUAAAUUUGUCAAAACACACAUAUAUGAGGUAUCAUGAAGUAACAGAUUUUUUCUUUUAUCACUUGGUCACUAGGGAAGCAGAGGUUAGGAAAUUAACUGUAAUUGCCUUUAAUUGUUUUAAGCACUAGACUCAUUUGUUUAGAUGAAAUUUGUAGAAAAACAUUUAUAGUUAAAGAUGUGUUCAUGGUGAGCUAAGCAUGAGUACUCAGAUUGCCUAGGGGUUUAAAAAAAGACCCUAUUCUCAUAAAAGUACUUGACCUGGGAAUACAUUCAAAAAUUGGGGUCAAAUGUGCACUAGCUGAGUUAAUUUAUAAAGGCCUCAUUUUUUCAGAAGUAAAAGUAUCAAGAAAAUGAUGGGAGAAAAAAAAUCUAAUGAGAUCCUAGAUGUUUAAAAUAGCUCCAGGUGUAAACAACAGCUGC
Long non-coding RNA from Gallus gallus (chicken), 1595 nucleotides. NCBI's taxonomy places the organism in Eukaryota, Metazoa, Chordata, Aves, Galliformes, Phasianidae. The record is from Ensembl.